Molecule: ribosomal RNA, 425 nt
Filed under: uncultured bacterium
Lineage: Bacteria
Description: partial 16S ribosomal RNA
Rfam family: Bacterial small subunit ribosomal RNA
Source: RNAcentral
GUGAGGAAUAUUGGACAAUGGGCGCAAGCCUGAUCCAGCCAUGCCGCGUGAGUGAUGAAGGCCCUAGGGUUGUAAAGCUCUUUCACCGGAGAAGAUAAUGACGGUAUCCGGAGAAGAAGCCCCGGCUAACUUCGUGCCAGCAGCCGCGGUAAUACGAAGGGGGCUAGCGUUGUUCGGAAUUACUGGGCGUAAAGCGCACGUAGGCGGACAUUUAAGUCAGGGGUGAAAUCCCGGGGCUCAACCCCGGAACUGCCUUUGAUACUGGGUGUCUGGAGUAUGGAAGAGGUAAGUGGAAUUCCGAGUGUAGAGGUGAAAUUCGUAGAUAUUCGGAGGAACACCAGUGGCGAAGGCGGCUUACUGGUCCAUUACUGACGCUGAGGUGCGAAAGCGUGGGGAGCAAACAGGAUUAGAAACCCUAGUAGUCC